AUCGCUUCUCGGCCUUUUGGCUAAGAUCAAGUGUAGUAUCUGUGAAUGGGCUUUGCUCUUGGUCUGGGCAGUGAGAUUCUUAUGAAUUUCUGCGAUUGAAGAGAAACUGGCAGCAGUUAACAAAAUGCAGUGCCUGUCAUUAAAACUGGUCACUU
Molecule: small nuclear RNA, 155 nt
Filed under: Phasianus colchicus (ring-necked pheasant)
Lineage: Eukaryota; Metazoa; Chordata; Aves; Galliformes; Phasianidae
Description: U2 spliceosomal RNA (ENSPCLG00000003111.1)
Rfam family: U2 spliceosomal RNA
About the family: U2 is a small nuclear RNA (snRNA) component of the spliceosome (involved in pre-mRNA splicing). Complementary binding between U2 snRNA (in an area lying towards the 5' end but 3' to hairpin I) and the branchpoint sequence (BPS) of the intron results the bulging out of an unpaired adenosine, on the BPS, which initiates a nucleophilic attack at the intronic 5' splice site, thus starting the first of two transesterification reactions that mediate splicing.
Source: Rfam by way of RNAcentral